This 308-nucleotide signal recognition particle RNA is filed under the name Sulfolobaceae archaeon. RNAcentral describes it as "Archaeal signal recognition particle RNA". It matches the Rfam family "Archaeal signal recognition particle RNA". Lineage: Archaea; Thermoproteati; Thermoproteota; Thermoprotei; Sulfolobales; Sulfolobaceae. The record is from Rfam by way of RNAcentral.
GGGCUAGGUAGGGCGGGGGGUCUCGCCAGCCCCUGUAACCUGCGAGGCGUAAUGCAGGCGCCAGUAACUCCUACCUCAUGGUGAUCCUCUAACAGUAGCCCUAACCCAACGAUGAAACUCGCCCAGUGGGGCCUCGCGUGUGUGGAUUCCCUCUUCGGAGGAAGAGGGGAUACCACACUUACUGGGGGAACCAGCCAGGCCCGGAAGGGAGCAACUGUGCCCAGGCGCGGGCGUUCACUGGUCACCGAGUAGAGAAGGGUUAGGGGGAACUACUGUUAGAGGUAGCUAUGGGGUAGGGGGUCUAGCCC